AAGAAUUUGGAGGGAUAGACUUUUCUUCGAAAAAAAUAAAAUCAAAACUCCUCGAAAUUGAGAAGAUUUGAGGGGAAAGGAAUAGAAAGCAAUCAAAAGACAAAAUUAGCCUUCCAAAUUCUAUACACAAAAUUAGGGCGCAGCAGCGUCUCCAUCUCCUCUUCUCUCGCGUCUCCGGCUUCGGCUCUUUAACACGGCUCAAAGAAGAAACGCUAACCCUAGGUCUGGAAUCCUCCAUUGGAGACGCGAAGGUGUGCUAGGCGAUUUGCAGACUGCCGUUGCUGCUAGAAUCAAUAUACGAAUUGAUCAUGUGAAAGAGCAGCUCGCCACUUUUAGAUUUCAGUUGGAAGACUUCUCUUUUGCAAAUAUAAGAUGAACAAGAAAUUGCAACAGUUGAAAGCACCAAAGAAGAAGCAACUUCAAGCUACAAAACUCAGUGUCGAGGGUCGUGGCAUGGUCAAGUAUUUAUAGUCAUUUCCAUUCAAUGACCGAGUUUGAAGAGCCCAUCUUAUGGGCUUAUAGUUUGUACUGCUAUUGCACUGGGCUGAAGAACGAGAUUAUCACUAGACUGCCUUGUCCGAAGAUCACUCAAUUAGUUAUGAAUGGAAGCUUCUAGGAUGAAUGGGCAGGUUGGGCGAUGUUGUUGCUUCGAGAGUUGGUGUCUUGGAGGUUAGGUGGCUAUGUUCUGUAUGUAAUUCAACAAUUUCAGUAUGUUAUGAAUAUCUAACAUCCAGAUGAUGCUAAUUUUUCCAGGUCAAGUGUAACAAUACAUUUUUUUAAUAAGAGUGAAUUAGCUUUGUUUAUGAA
Cornus florida is the source of this 807-nucleotide long non-coding RNA. RefSeq lists it as uncharacterized. NCBI's taxonomy places the organism in Eukaryota, Viridiplantae, Streptophyta, Magnoliopsida, Cornales, Cornaceae. The record is from RefSeq and is a predicted model, not a curated record. The transcript is spliced from 3 exons.